RNAcentral lists this ribosomal RNA (1348 nucleotides) under uncultured organism. RNAcentral describes it as "bacterial SSU rRNA". It matches the Rfam family "Bacterial small subunit ribosomal RNA", at positions 51 to 1374 of the family's 1533-position model. The record is from RNAcentral.
ACACAUGCAAGUCGAGCGGGAACGUUCCCUUCGGGGAACCAGUACAGCGGCAGACGGGUGAGUAACGCGUGAUCAAUCUGCCCUUGGGAGAGGAAUAGCCAUUCGAAAGAGUGAGUAAUACCUCAUAAGACUACAGCAUCGCAUGGUGCAGUGGUAAAAAGUGUUGGGAUCUUCGGACCUUCCGCCCAGGGAUGAGAUCGCGUCCUAUUAGCUUGUUGGUGAGGUAACGGCUCACCAAGGCAGCGAUGGGUAGCCGGCCUUAGCGGGUGGACGGCCACACUGGAACUGAGACACGGUCCAGACUCCUACGGGAGGCUGCAGUGCUGAAUUAUUCGCCAAUGCGCGAAAGCGUGACGGUGCGACGCCGCGUGCGGGACGAAGGCCUUAGGGUCGUAAACCGCUGUCAGGGCUUCGGAAACCGUAGAGGUUAAUAGCCUCUGCGCUGACCAGGCCCAAAGGAAGCACAGGCUAAUCUCGUGCCAGCAGCCGCGGUAAUACGAGAUGUGCGAGCGUUGUUCGGAAUUACUGGGCAUAAAGGGUGCGCAGGCGGCCAUGUAAGUCAGGUGUGAAAUCCCUCGGCUCAACCGGGGAAUUGCAUCUGAUACUGCAUGGCUUGAGAACGAAAGGGGCAAGCGGAAUUCCAGGUGUAGCGGUGGAAUGCGUAGAUAUCUGGGAGAACGCCAAUGGCGAAGGCAGCUUGCUGGGUCGUUUCUGACGCUCAUGCGCGAAAGCUAGGGGAGCAAACAGGAUUAGAUACCCUGGUAGUCCUAGCUGUAAACGAUGGGUACUAGGUUCCGGGAUUCCUGAUGAUUUCGGAGCCGCAGUUAAUGCGUUAAGUACCCCGCCUGGGGAGUAUGGUCGCAAGGCUAAAACUCAAAGGAAUUGACGGAGCCCCGCACAAGCGGUGGAGCAUGUGGUUUAAUUCGACGCAACGCGAAGAACCUUACCUGGGCUUGACAUGCUUGGGACAGCGCUGGAAACAGCGUCUCUCCUUCGGGAGCCCUUGCACAGGUGCUGCAUGGCUGUCGUCAGCUCGUGUCGUGAGAUGUUGGGUUAAGUCCCGCAACGAGCGCAACCCUCGCUACUAGUUGCCAUCAGUUCGGCUGGGCACUCUAGUGAGACUGCCGGUGAUAGACCGGAGGAAGGUGAGGAUGAUGUCAAGUCAUCAUGGCACUUACGCCCAGGGCUACACACGUGCUGCAAUGGUCGGCACAAAGGGUCGCUAAGCCGCGAGGUGGAGCUAAUCCCAAAAAGCCGGCACUCAGUUCGGAUUGGAGUCUGCAACCCGACUCCAUGAAGGCGGAAUCGCUAGUAAUCGCGGAUCAGCAUGCCGCGGUGAAUAUGUUCC